This 275-nucleotide unclassified non-coding RNA is filed under the name Hevea brasiliensis (rubber tree). The record is from RNAcentral. Lineage: Eukaryota; Viridiplantae; Streptophyta; Magnoliopsida; Malpighiales; Euphorbiaceae.
AAAGGCUCGAGGCAGAUACUGCAAGCAUCCUCGAACGCCUCGUCAAUAGCAGCUUCAGAAGAAGAACAACCACCAGUAUCAGCAGCAGCCGAAAUGAUCGGGUCGUCCGAUAAUGAGGAGGAAGAGGAAGUAAAAUUCGCCAUCGGAGAGGUUCAGAGUUGAUGGAGAAGGAAGAGAGGAAUGAAGGGAGCUUGUUAGGCAGGAGUGGAAGAGGAGAAGCAGAAAGGAACCCUAGAAAAAGUAUUAGGGGUGAAGUAAAUGGUCAAAGAAAAGAA